This 480-nucleotide ribosomal RNA is filed under the name uncultured bacterium. RNAcentral describes it as "partial 16S ribosomal RNA". It matches the Rfam family "Bacterial small subunit ribosomal RNA", at positions 28 to 507 of the family's 1533-position model. The record is from RNAcentral.
GACGAACGCUGGCGGCGUGCUUAACACAUGCAAGUCGAACGAUGAAGAAAAGAAUCGAAGCUUCGGCAGAAAUUCAUUUCGGAUUAGUGGCAGACGGGUGAGUAACGCGUGAGCAACCUACCUCUUACAAAGGGAUAGCCUCGGGAAACCGGGAUUAAUACCAUCUAACAUUGUGACGAAGCAUUUCGAUGCAAUCAAAGCUACGGCGGUAAGAGAUGGGCUCGCGUCUCAUUAACCGGAUGGUGAGGUAACGGCUCACCAUAGCGACGAUGGGUAACCGGCCUGAGAGGGUGAACGGUCACACUGGAACUGAGACACGGUCCAGACUCCUACGGGAGGCAGCAGUGGGGAAUAUUGCACAAUGGAGGGAACUCUGAUGCAGCGACGCCGCGUGAGUGAUGAAGGAAUUCGUUUCGUAAAACUCUGUUCUAUGGGAAGAAAAGGACUGUACCAUAGGAGAAAGCUCCGGCUAAAUACGUG